RNAcentral lists this ribosomal RNA (460 nucleotides) under uncultured bacterium. RNAcentral's name for it is "partial 16S ribosomal RNA". It matches the Rfam family "Bacterial small subunit ribosomal RNA", at positions 338 to 795 of the family's 1533-position model. The record is from RNAcentral.
CCUACGAGAGUCUGCAGUGAGGAAUAUUGGUCAAUGGGCGCGAGCCUGAACCAGCCAAGUAGCGUGAAGGAUGACUGCCCUACGGGUUGUAAACUUCUUUUAUAAAGGAAUAAAGUGAGGCACGUGUGCCUUUUUGUAUGUACUUUAUGAAUAAGGAUCGGCGAACUCCGUGCCAGCAGCCGCGGUAAUACGGAGGAGCCGAGCGUUAUCCGGAUUUAUUGGGGUUAAAGGGAGCGUAGAUGGGUUGGUAAGUCAGUUGUGAAAGUUUGCGGCUCAACCGUAAAAUUGCAAUUGAUACUGGCAGUCUUGAGUACAGUUGAGGUAGGCGGAAUUCGUGGUGUAGCGGUGAAAUGCUUAGAUAUCACGAAGAACUCCGAUUGCGAAGGCAGCUUACUAAACUGCCACUGACAUUGAUGCUCGAAAGUGUGGGUAUCAAACAGGAUUAGAUACCCUAGUAGUC